GGUGCUCUUCCUCAUGGCGAGGGAAGGAAAUGAAGUUCUGCCCGCCAUCCCGCGUUCCGCCGCCCCCGGCCCCGCUCGGGGAUCCCUCUCCGAUGGCCGCUCCCGAGGCGAAGAGGUUCCCCUGGGAGUAUUUGACGUCGCGGAAGAACUUCUUGGUCUCUCGCAGGUUGUGCUGCAGCCUCGCCAGGUGCCGGUUGUAGUGACCGAAGGAGCGGCACAGCUCUCGGAUCAGCCCCCCGGGCCCACCCCGCCACGAAGGGGCUCCUUCGCCCUCCAUCUCCUCCGGGUCCGUUCCGCUAUCCCCUCCCCACCGCGGGGGACGCUCCGGCCCCGCCAGGCUGCGG
RNAcentral lists this long non-coding RNA (344 nucleotides) under Gallus gallus (chicken). Lineage: Eukaryota; Metazoa; Chordata; Aves; Galliformes; Phasianidae. The record is from RNAcentral.